CGGACGGGUGAGUAAUGUCUGGGAAACUGCCUGAUGGAGGGGGAUAACUACUGGAAACGGUAGCUAAUACCGCAUAACGUCGCAAGACCAAAGAGGGGGACCUUAGGGCCUCUUGCCAUCGGAUGUGCCCAGAUGGGAUUAGCUAGUAGGUGGGGUAACGGCUCACCUAGGCGACGAUCCCUAGCUGGUCUGAGAGGAUGACCAGCCACGCUGGAACUGAGACACGGUCCAG
This 232-nucleotide ribosomal RNA is filed under the name uncultured bacterium. RNAcentral describes it as "partial 16S ribosomal RNA". It matches the Rfam family "Bacterial small subunit ribosomal RNA", at positions 99 to 334 of the family's 1533-position model. The record is from RNAcentral.